This 253-nucleotide ribosomal RNA is filed under the name uncultured bacterium. Its description in RNAcentral is "partial 16S ribosomal RNA". It matches the Rfam family "Bacterial small subunit ribosomal RNA", at positions 524 to 776 of the family's 1533-position model. The record is from RNAcentral.
UACGUAGGGUGCGAGCGUUGUCCGGAAUUAUUGGGCGUAAAGGGCUCGUAGGCGGUUUGUCGCGUCGGGAGUGAAAACCUUGGGCUUAACUCAGGGCUUGCUUUCGAUACGGGCAGACUAGAGGUAUGCAGGGGAGAACGGAAUUCCUGGUGUAGCGGUGAAAUGCGCAGAUAUCAGGAGGAACACCGGUGGCGAAGGCGGUUCUCUGGGCAUGAUCUGACGCUGAGGAGCGAAAGUGUGGGGAGCAAACAGG